CCCCCAGGGAUGCAGGCAGACACAGGACCACGGGGCUGUCCCUGCACCGUCCUGGGAGCCCCCUGUUCACUGCGGGGGGCUGAAGGGGAGCAGGCUGGGUGCUGAUGUCCCAGGGGGUGAGCAUCGUGCUGGAGCCCAGCGCUGCCGCAGGAGGGUGCAGGGGUGUCUGCUGCUCCCGGCUGUGUCCCAGACGAGACCUCAUACGGCCUUAGCGAAGUCUGGGAAGGCAGGAGAGAGACGACCGGCUGUAUUUUUUUGUUGUUUUUUUUGUUUUCCUUCCUCUCUUCUCCCUCUGUCUCAUGAGCUGGCAGGGAUCGGCGACGUUUUAAUCAAACUUGGCACGGGAUGAUAGGAAAAGGAGGAAGGCGGAGAUCUGUAGGAGGCCAGGAGUGCCCUGGGAAAGGCAGCAGAGGGGAGGGAGGCAGCACAGGACCUUAGCAAGUCCUCGCUGGACCCGAGCUGGGGAUGACACCCGCAGCAAACCCUUCCCGAGAGCCGGAGCAGGGGCGAGCAGCCCCAUCCCUCGGGAGCUGGCUGUGCACGUGCUGCUCCCCUCAUUAUUCCUUUUCUUUCUUUCCUCCUUUAAAUAGGUGGCAUCCUUGGCACGGGGAUCCCAUCCCCUUCCAACACACAUCGCUCUGGACGUGGCAGUGCACUCGGUGCCACCGCAGGGGCGCAGCAAUGGGUGAUAAUUUAUGGUGUAAGGAGCUGGGAGGAGGAGGAGAUGCUGGGGAUGGGGGAAAGAGGGAGAGGCAGGGACCGUCCUCCCCUGGUCCUGGGGGUGUGUGAACCAGGGAGAGGUGGGGAUGAAGCGUCCUUGCUGAACAGCCAGCUCCACGCACGGACUGCUCCAUGCUCCCGAGUGCACGGCGCCCAUCUGCAGUCCCAAUUCCUCUCCUAACUUUACCCAUCUGCCAAAACACACCCUUUGGCUGUGCUCUGCUGAGGAGGAAGCUUCAAGAGGGACAAAAAAGGAUUUGGGCUCCCUUCUGAUGCCAGGACUUCAUCUUAGCUUGGGAAAACAGAUCUGUCCUGCUGAGGGUGACUCGCCCUGGCCAAGGGACAGCCGGGGCAGUGACCGCGGUGCAGGGCAGCGAGAAACAAAAGGGAAAUAAAUCAUCAAACUGCUUCGAGGUUUUCCUCUUUUUUACGUUCAGCUUCACAACUUCUUGCAGACCAAACGUUGCUUUUCACUGCUGGGUGGACACAGCAGCUGUAACAUUUUUUAACAGCACCUUCCCUUUCUACAUACCGGCCUAGCUGUGAUCUGUAUUGAUUUUUCCACCUGUUUCUGUUUCAUCACUGAUAUUGCUGAAAAACUUAAGCUAUUUCGGGGAUGUAGGGGCACUCCGCUGCUCGUUUGUUUUCUGUUUCAGCCCGAUGACAUUAAUCGGGUUUGCAUGAUCUUUUCAUUAAGGGGGGCGGGCUAAACAGCACUUUGGUUAAAAAAUAUCCCCGCACACUCACAGGGUACUCACAGCACCCGGCCCUCAUCCAGCAAGCCUAAUUAUACCGGAGGCAAUGAACUCAGCUAAGGACAGCGGGAUGCCUUGGAGUGACACCAGGCACGCAUGAGCACAGAUGCUGUCGGGGUAGGAAAUAUCUCCUUCAUCAAACUCGAGAGGAAGCGCUGGCUGCCAGCAGGCACGGCGAACCUACUUUCGUUACCUAAAAAAAUUGUCGGCACACGGGGAGUACAGGGUUUUGCAGCAUUCUCAAAAAUCUGGUUGUUAAUUCUGAUUCCAUCUCUUCAGGCUCUGACAGUGUUGUGGCUUGGGUUCCUUUGUUGUUUUUCUUUCUUUCUUUUUUUUUAAAUUUUCGAAAUAUUCUCCUUUUCCCACAUAGAGGGAAUGCUCCCCGCCUUUCUCUUAUUCCGUGGAGGGGACUAAAAAGCCAAAUUAGAAGAAUGAGAAGAAAGUCAGGCUCGCUGUUAUUAGCCAACCCAUCUUCUUACAGCAUUAGGAUUCACAAGAUAAUAUUCCCACAGUUGUACUUGGGCACGGGAAAAUGGACCAUUAGCCAGAAAUUGUCUUGGAUUUGUCUGGGUGGGGAAAAAUAUAAAGCUAAUGCCCUCUUGUGGCUCCUUACAGCAAAGUGUGUGGCUGCAGGGUGCUAGCACUCUUCUCACCUUUUGGUUGUUACGGGGUAGGAAAAAUAAUAGGGACUGGCUCCUGCCCCUUGCCUUCGAUGUGAUGCUGAGGGCUUCAGAUGCAGGUUGGGGAGCCGGGGGCAUCUUUUGCCUUGCAGAGGGCUCAGGGCAGAGGCUGGGAGCCCCGGGCAGGGCUGGGGUGAGGCUGUGGCAUGGGGAUCCCAGGCUGCUGGGGCUGGAACACGGCAGCAAACCUCGUCUGCAGGGCAGCUUCCCAGCGCCGGGCCUUGGCAGAUUGUUCCCUUGCAGAAAGCAGCGGUUUUAGAGAUAUUCAGCUCCGUUCUGUAGAGCUGGAGGCAAUCCAAAAGGCACUGUGUUUUUCUCCCAAGGCAAAGCAGCCCAAGGGCACCGGGGAUGGAGAAGACCGCUGCUGAUCCCCCAGCUGUCUGCCCAUCCACGGCAGACUUUGCAGGAGCACGUAGCCUAAACAAAUGGAAUGAGGCGGGGGGAUUCACCAAAGCCCAGUUCUCAUCUGGUUUUGAACUGCUCUGAAAUGUUUAAUCGUGGCCUGUCGUCGGCGCAAGGCACCCCAUGACACAUCCAGGAAGAGGGCUGAAAUAUUUUUUAAGUCAUGGUUGUUAACAUCUAGCAACAAGAAUAAAAUUUUCUCUCCAUUUUAAAGCCCCGCACACCAGCCUUCCAGGAAAGACCUCCACCGGCAUCUGCUUCCGAUUAAACAUCUUUGGGUUCCAGCCCAAAAUAACUUCAAAGAUUUAUUGACUUCCAUGAUUUCUAAAUAGCUCCCAAAGAGGAGCGGAGAGCCCGGCUCCGGCACUGCUGGCCCGCUGGGAUGAGUCGGGGCUUCGUGCUCCUGGUCCUGCACGGAGCCAGGACCUGGAGCCAACGGUUCCCCUCUUGGAUGUCAACCUAAAACGCCUUCCACUGUGAAACAUCAGGAAUUUAGGAUGAGCACGAUCGCUGAGCAGAUCAGACACCAAACCGAUGGUCCUCGUUGCUCAACAUCCUACCCCAGCGGUGACCUCCCAGAAGUUCCCAUCCCUCAGAGCUUCGUGUCCUGAAACGGGAGGGCUGCGGCUCCUCCCUGCACUUGUUUCAGCCCUUGUUCUGUCUCUCUCCAGAUAAAGGCUGAGCAUCUGCUCGAGCCCUGUGAGUCCCUGGUGGCUGCGAGUGCCACAGUGUCCAGGAGCAGCUCUUCUGCUGAAACAGUCCUUCAAUUUAUUUAUUUUUAUUUUUAUUUUUUUGGUCAAAAUAAUGCUUUAGAAUUUUUGUAGAGAUAUUUUAAAAUUGGGAUUGUCCUUUACAAACACCCCAAUAGUGUAGAUUUUAAAUUUAAAACACAGGAUAUUUUUAUUUUAUUUUAUUUUAUUUUUCACGUUUUGCUUUUUGGCAAAAACCCAAGCUGAUUCUCUUACCAAAAGUGUGAGCUGAGAGAGGGCAAAGUUCCUUUGGCGAUCACGCCACGAGCCAUCGGGAAGAAGCUUACAAAAACAACAGCAGAGGAGCGAGCACAUCCCAACCAAAGGGCAGAUGCUCCACGGGCUCGUCCUCACCGCGGGCAGGGGCUCGCUGCCGGGCUGGCAGCCAGGAACAUCCAGCAAUGAGCUCUAAAAACAGCCCCCAGAGCAUCCUCCCUGCUGGGAUGAGCCUUGCUUGCACCUUCCCCUCUGCCCAAAAUAACCCUUCCCUCCUGGCCAUCCCUCUGCAGCCCUAGACAUUUGGAGGCUGGUGUGGGAACUGGUCCCAUAUGGACUCCAGUGGCUGUGAUGAGGUUGGAUUGGGAUGGUGCUGUUGCUCCCAGUUCCCAGCCCCGUGGGGAACUGCCCCAUUGAGCAGCAGGGAAAUCACCAAGUGAGCCCCAUAUGGCACGGAGCAGCCCCAGCACCGAUCCUCCUUGGCUAAGCCGGGUGAGAAGAUCUUUUAAGAUGCUGUGUUGACAGCUCAGGAUUGUCAGUUUGGGAGCACUAAAGCCAAGUCCAUGCUUUUCCUAGGGUCUUCAACACCCUUGUAGGGAAAAAGGAGAAAGUGAGAUGUGCUCCACCUCGAGGAGCCCCUGGAGGUGUCUGCCAAGAAGGGGACACGAGGGGAAGAUGCAAGCCGGGAGCUUGGCAGGGAGAUGUCCCGCAUCUGGCCCCGUGAGGCUGUAUGGGCUCUGCUCACUUCCCUUUUUUUCUCUCAAAGUGUCCACUUCAGGCAGAGAAAUUGCUGUGAAAAGAGCAAUCGGCUCUGUCCUUUGGCCACAGGCCUGGUGAGGAUCUGUGUCCUGGGUGGUGAUGGUGAGCUGAUGGGCAGAGCCUGGUGGAUUUCUUUUGUACACAGGAGAAGGGCAGAAGUUUGCAGCCUCUUAGGAGUUUUCUGUAGAGUUCUCCCCCCCCCCCCUUUUUUUUUCUUUUUUUUUUUUCUUUUUUUUUCUUUUUUAUUUUUUUUUCUGUUCAGGCUCUGUUCAAAGCAGGGUGUUCGUUUCUGCCUUGAAAGCAGAGGCUCCUUAGAGGGGCUUUUCUUUCUCUCAACCAAAUAUAGAUCUAUUAUAAAGCAUGGCUCUGCACUUUGCCAAGAGCUCCAUCUCUGUCGGGAUUUCAGGGGCUAUUUGGUGUCUCCAUUUCCUGGGAAUCUCUUUCCAAGAGCUUUGUGCUGGUCCUUCUUCCCUUCGCUGUGGGUCCAGAGGGAUGUUUUGGGGGGAAUUACUAUGUUUUUUCGUGAACAAGAGCUCUGCCGUGUCUCUGCUAGCCAGCAAAACUCUGCGAGAGGGGCAGGAGGAUGCUGCUGCUCCCCAUCUGCCUGCUGAGAGGGGCAGGGACUGCCAGUGCCGCUGCUCCCAGACAAAAAGGAGAUGGAAAAGGCUCAGUCCUCACGCCUCUUUUGUGGCCUGGGUAAUGUGAGUCAUGCCGAGUGCCUGCGGCACCCGAGGCUGCUUCCUGCUGUGCCCAGCUCCCCCAGCUCUGUGGCCGCCUCUUUGCCCAGCCAACGUGGCAAGGCAAUGCUUCUGCCUUGGGUUAAAAGGGGGAUGUGGAGGGGCACGUGGAGAAGGGCGAAGGACAGCCUCUGGCAGGGAAUGAGGAGCAGAACAAGCCCCUGGACCCUGCACGGCUCUGCACGGAGAGAAAGGAGCUGGACGGCUUCCAGUGCGCUGUGUGUGAAUUCCAGAGCCCACGUUUGCAGGGCAGCCUGCAGCCUCGACCAAAAAUAGGACAACUGGCUUCUCGGGAGCGUGUCAGGGGAGAGCUCGAAGCGAGUCCAGAGCUCCUGGCACCCCGCUCCCCCCGCCACAUCACGCCGUGCCACAAGCAGCUCGGCCACGCAGCGCAGCUGAAGGUUGGAGUAUCUGGGAGGACUGAGAGCAUUUGAGCAAGUUUCUGGAGUUAAAAGACUUGUCCUCGGGUUUUGGCUUCGGAUGACCUGCGCUCCUAAUGCACUCUUCACUUAAUUCUCCCCUGCCAGUGCAAACGCUCUUAUUUAUGAGGUUGGUAAUCACUUUCUAUCAACACGCUCUGGAAAUCUGCUCCUUCUGCAAAGCAUUCCUUCAAGUAAAUCCUUCCCCAUGAAUAUUCCCAGCCCAAGCCGAGUCCAAGGCCUGCUCAGGGCAUACGAGAGGGCUUUCAAAGGACUCCCACCGAGCGCGGUUGGCUCAGACCCAAGCGCACACAUCCACGCCCAUAGAGCUCUGUUACAAGUGGCCCCACGCUCACAAGAAGGAAACCAAACCUUCCCCAAAGUCCUUAGAGUUGUUUUGCCAUCCUUUUCCUGCACACAAGCCGUGGGCUUUUACCUCUCAGGAGGAACCCCAGGCAGCACACAUAGGAAGGCCCGUGCUAAUUUAAAAUCCUCCCUGAACACCGAGUUUGGUGUCUUUUUUCUUCCUUAAAUUAAAAGCCAGAAAAAAUAUCUAGAAAUGUCUGUGCAGAAGAAUCAAUUGCAUCACAAAGUAACGUUCUGGGCCACGAAAAGAGCCUGUGUUUUCAGCCUUGACAGUUUACCCAUCCCCAUUUUGGGAGGCAACACAGAUAGGUUUUCCAUUUGAAACAUCCCAGGGGCCAUGCAGCUCAUGCUGAGCCCUCAGAAGUCAACGAGCCACUUUCCACAGCAGUGGUCCCAGCAAUAAUUAGGACUUUUAUUUUAUUUUAUUAUUCAUUUAUUUAUUUAUGAGCUGCCAGGCUGGCACUUGGUUUAAGCCAUAGGAAAGCGGAGGCCCAGGGCACCCAUCAGGGCAGCACCAACAAACACAAGGCUGCACGUCUUUAAAUCUUUUGAUUUCUUUUAGAUUUCUGCUCCUUAUCUCUCAGCCCCUUCAUGGGCCAACUGGAGCUCUUUAUCGGUGCCAUUUACUCAACUGUCAAGUGGUUUUUUUUAUCCUAAAGCUCUGCAGUGGGGAAAUAGGAACCUGCAAUGAACUUGCUUUAAAUUGAAACAGAUAUUUAACUAGAAUAAACCAGUGGCCGGACUGAAUAAACACUGCAGGCACUUUAGAAAGAAUGUUAAGUUGACAUAAGAUCUGCUGGGUGAAUUCAAGAAACGGGAGAUUUUAUGCUGAAGUCAUAAAUCUGCCGGGUGAAAAGGGCGAUAGUGCUGAGCUCUGCAUCUUGCUGCCUCUCCAGGAGGGACGAGGGCAGGAUGUUUGCUGCCGCAGCCUGCGGAGCUGUUGGUACGGGCUGCAGGCUUCCUUCCCAGGGCAGCUGCUGCGAGCUGUGGGCUUCGUCUCCGCUGCUGCCUUCUGGCUCCCUGCAGGACAGGAGAGGGAUGUGUCUCCCCGGGGCUUGGCUCUCCGGCCCUUCCAAGCAGUCUUUUUUUCCAGCAGCUGGCCAAAGCAUGUCCCCUCCAGGCUCCCAGGUGUGAAUUGCCCAUGGGAUGAGCUCUGCAUGGGGCAGCUGGUGGUCCCCACAACUCCGAGAGCACGCUCCAAGGCACUGGGCAGUGUUUGGCCCCACGCUGGGCAGAGCAAAGUUGUGCACAGCAUCAAAAUCCAUUUAAUAUCCUCGCGAUGGGGUGUGCUCCUACCGUAGGGCUGGUGUCAGUCCGGCCGAGCAGCCUGCUGGGACUCAAUUUGUUACAGCAGCAGCUGGUCACCAAAAACAGGUUGGGAAGCAGCUUUUAUUUUUUUUUAUUUUUUAUUUAAAGAAAGCUGCUUUUAUUAAAGACAGGCUUCCAAAACCUGGGUAUCAGAGGAGACCACGGCACCAAUCUGCCCACGACGACUUCCCUAGGCUGGCAGCACCUCUGGCUUUGCUUGGCCAUGGAUGGCUUGGGGAGAGCAUCCAAAUCCCUGCCAAAGCUCCUGCUUUCGUGAUCCCAGCGCCGUGUGUCUGGGCGCAGGGCUGAUCCCAGCAGAACUCAUGCCACGUCCCUCUGUUUCUGCAGGAUGGACUGAGCAGUGGUCCAGGGGGUGAGAGCUUGCCCCAAGUCAGCCCGAGCUAAAGAGUCGCAGAUGUUUAAUACUUCUGCUCCCUGCUCCAAGGAGAGGAGCUGCAGAGAAUACAGCAAUAUUUUUUCAAUACAUUCCAUAUGUUUCCUCCAUAAGUCAAGAUUAAAAAGCGGUGCUGGUCCAAAUCAGAAUAAGCCUGCAGGCUGUUCUGCUGCUUUUGGAGGAAGAAGGAGCCUCAUCCUGAUUUGCCCUGCAGCAGAGAACGGCUCUGACCUGACUUGAGAAUAUGUUUCCAGAGGGACAAGUGGAGUUGUCAUUCAUGCUGUCCCUGCUCUCAGUGCUGCUACAGCUGUUACACGAAGCACUUGUCAGCCCUGAUCCCACACCGAAUUUUGGUACCUGACUUCUCACGGGAUAAAGGAGCUGGCACGAGGGCAGGAAAGAGAGAGCACCCCCAGUCUCCCAGGCAGAGUAGAGCCAUGGUCUCUUCUGACAUCUACUUUUUGGAAGCCUGUUUUUAAUAAAUGAAGUUUUCUUUAAAAAAAAAAAUAAAUCAGUGGCCACCUCAAGCCUCUGCUGCCCUCAGCUCAUAUGGCCGAGGUCCUGCAGCAGCUGCAGACACAACAGGGUGAAGCCCAUGAUCACCUCCCCCUUGCCCAGCUCUGGCCACACUCGGCCAAACACGAGUGCAAACGUGGCACUGUGAGCCCUUGGCCAUCAUGCGCCCGUGAGGGGCCGCAAAUUACUUGUUUCUGUUUCCUUAUUUUCCUUUUUCUGAUCUUCUGACCCCAGCAGCAGUGUUUCAGCCCUGCUGCCAUUGCCACUCUGCUUGCUGAGGUCCAAAUCCUGCAAAUGCCAUCACCGAGGAUGGCAGGUCCGGAGGGAGGAGGGAAGCCCAGCAGCCUCAAGGGAAGGGGUUUGCUCUCUCCUGAAGGGCACACUCCUCGGUAUAAUUGUGCCAGCCAAAUGUGCACAGAAGUCCUUGGUAAUUGCUAUGGUAAUCAUUUCACAUGUGUGGGAUUUUUUAGGCUAAAGCGUAAUUACAGCUAAUUGCUGUUUGAUUUUGUUCCUGUUUGUAUAGCCAUUAAAGGAAUCAUUGAAAUGUCUUUGCUAAAAGACUUUCCUCUUUCUUCUCCUCUUUUUCUAAAAUCAUCCUGGAAAAAAAAGAAAAAAAAAGAAAAAAGAGAUCAUGUUGCAACACUCAGAGUUCAUGAAUGGCCAUUAGCUGGCCAAAGCUCUCACAACAAAGAGCCACGUUAAGCCCGCAAGAGCCUGAUGUUUUCCCAGUGUUGGGAACUGACAGUACUUGAAUUUGCAGAACUAAUGAGAAUUUGCAAAGAUCUUGGCUGUUGGUUAAUGAAACCCUUCAGGGCAAAAGGCUGAGUCUGAAUUUAUGUGGGGAGAUGGGAGGAUCUGAGCUGCUUGCUGCAAGCACAAGCAAAGGUGCUUUCAGCCAGUUGUUUGGUGGCAGGGCAAGUUGCAUUUCUGCUGUGUGCUCCCCGUGAGAAGCUGGGAAGGAGAACACUGCCCAUUAAACCCCUCUGAUGUCCCUUGUUUUCAGAAGGAGACAGCAUUUUGGAGUCUUAUUUCCAGAUGCCCAACCGGUCCCUGCACAAGUAACCAAUUCUAUUUUUUUUCCCUUUCUCUCUCCUUACCCUGCCUUGAUUUUACAUUCUGCCCAUCUGCUGCAGCCUGUGGAGGGAGAACUGAGGCUGGUGGGGCUCCGUGCAGGUCCAGGGAUUCACUGGGAGCUUCUCCUGGCAUAGCUGGUGCCUUUAUCACGCCUGAUUAUUUUUUCCCAGCCCU
This is a non-coding RNA of Anas platyrhynchos (mallard), 9269 nucleotides long. The record is from RefSeq and is a predicted model, not a curated record. NCBI's taxonomy places the organism in Eukaryota, Metazoa, Chordata, Aves, Anseriformes, Anatidae.